AACGCGUGGGAAUGUACCCUUCACUGCGGAAUAGCCACUGGAAACGGUGAGUAAUACCGCANACGCCCUUCGGGGGAAAGAUUUAUCGGUGAAGGAUCAGCCCGCGUCUGAUUACGAUAGUUGGUGGGGUAACGGCCUACCAAGUCGACGAUCAGUAGCUGGUUUUAGAGGAUGAUCAGCAACACUGGGACUGAGACACGGCCCAGACUCCUACGGGAGGCANCAGUGGGGAAUCUUAGACAAUGGGCGCAAGCCUGAUCUAGCCAUGCCGCGUGAGUGAUGAAGGCCUUAGGGUCGUAAAGCUCUUUCGCCAGGGAUGAUAAUGACAGUACCUGGUAAAGAAACCCCGGCUAACUCCGUGCCAGCAGCCGCGGUAAUACGGAGGGGGUUAGCGUUGUUCGGAAUUACUGGGCGUAAAGCGCACGUAGGCGGACUAUUAAGUCAGGGGUGAAAUCCCGGGGCUCAACCCCGGAACUGCCUUUGAUACUGGUAGUCUUGAGUUCGAGAGAGGUGAGUGGAAUUCCGAGUGUAGAGGUGAAAUUCGUAGAUAUUCGGAGGAACGCCAGUGGCGAAGGCGGCUCACUGGCUCGAUACUGACGCUGAGGUGCGAAAGUGUGGGGAGCAAACAGGAUUAGAUACCCUGGUAGUCCACACCGUAAACGAUGAAUGCCAGACGUCGGCUAGCAUGCUAGUCGGU
This 697-nucleotide ribosomal RNA is filed under the name uncultured bacterium. RNAcentral describes it as "bacterial SSU rRNA". It matches the Rfam family "Bacterial small subunit ribosomal RNA", at positions 112 to 844 of the family's 1533-position model. The record is from RNAcentral.